AUUGCCCUAGUAACGGCGAAGUGAAGCGGCAACAGCUCAAAUUUGAAAUCUGGCUCUUUCAGAGUCCGAGUUGUAAUUUGCAGAGGGCGCUUUGGCGUUGGCAGCGGUCCAAGUUCUUUGGAACAGGACGUCACAGAGGGUGAGAAUCCCGUACGUGGUCGCUAGCCUUCGCCGUGUAAAGCCCCUUCGACGAGUCGAGUUGUUUGGGAAUGCAGCUCUAAAUGGGAGGUAAAUUUCUUCUAAAGCUAAAUAUUGGCCAGAGACCGAUAGCGCACAAGUAGAGUGAUCGAAAGAUGAAAAGCACUUUGGAAAGAGAGUCAAAUAGCACGUGAAAUUGUUGAAAGGGAAGCGCUUGCAGCCAGACUUGCCUGUAGUUGCUUAUCCGGACUUUUGUCCGGUGCACUCUUCUGCGGGCAGGCCAGCAUCAGUUUGGGCGGUUGGAUAAAGGUCUCUGUCAUGUACCUCCUUUCGGGGAGGCCUUAUAGGGGAGACGACAUGCAACCAGCCUGGACUGAGGUCCGCGCAUCUGCUAGGAUGCUGGCGUAAUGGCUGUAAGCGGCCCGUCUUGAAACACGGACCAAGGAGUCUAACAUCUAUGCGAGUGUUUGGGUGUCAAGCCCAGACGCGUAAUGAAAGUGAACGGAGGUGGGAACCUUUUAGGUGCACCAUCGACCGAUCCUGAUGUCUUCGGAAGGAUUUGAGUAAGAGCAUGGCUGUUGGGACCCGAAAGAUGGUGAACUAUGCUUGAAUAGGGUGAAAGCCAGAGGAAACUCUGGUGGAGGCUCGCAGCGGUUCUGACGUGCAAAUCGAUCGUCAAAUUUGGGCAUAGGGGCCGAAAGACUAAUCGAACUAUCUAGUAGCUGG
Molecule: ribosomal RNA, 864 nt
Filed under: uncultured fungus
Lineage: Eukaryota; Fungi
Description: LSU rRNA
Rfam family: Eukaryotic large subunit ribosomal RNA
Source: RNAcentral